GACGAACCGUACGAACGUUAUUCGGAAUCACUGGGCUUAAAGGGUGCGUAGGCUGCGCAGCAAGUUGGGUGUGAAAUCCCUCGGCUUAACCGAGGAACUGCGCCCAAAACUGCUGUGCUCGAGGGAGAUAGAGGUGAGCGGAACUUAGGGUGGAGCGGUGAAAUGCGUUGAUAUCCUAAGGAACACCGGUGGCGAAAGCGGCUACACUGGAUCUCUUCUGACGCUGAGGCACGAAAGC
RNAcentral lists this ribosomal RNA (238 nucleotides) under uncultured bacterium. RNAcentral describes it as "partial 16S ribosomal RNA". It matches the Rfam family "Bacterial small subunit ribosomal RNA", at positions 524 to 760 of the family's 1533-position model. The record is from RNAcentral.